This 465-nucleotide ribosomal RNA is filed under the name Vreelandella stevensii. RNAcentral describes it as "partial 16S ribosomal RNA". It matches the Rfam family "Bacterial small subunit ribosomal RNA", at positions 338 to 795 of the family's 1533-position model. The record is from RNAcentral. Lineage: Bacteria; Pseudomonadati; Pseudomonadota; Gammaproteobacteria; Oceanospirillales; Halomonadaceae.
CCUACGGGAGGCAGCAGUGGGGAAUAUUGGACAAUGGGGGCAACCCUGAUCCAGCCAUGCCGCGUGUGUGAAGAAGGCCCUCGGGUUGUAAAGCACUUUCAGUGAGGAAGAACGCCUGGUGGUUAAUACCCAUCAGGAAAGACAUCACUCACAGAAGAAGCACCGGCUAACUCCGUGCCAGCAGCCGCGGUAAUACGGAGGGUGCGAGCGUUAAUCGGAAUUACUGGGCGUAAAGCGCGCGUAGGUGGCUUGAUAAGCCGGGUGUGAAAGCCCCGGGCUCAACCUGGGAACGGCAUCCGGAACUGUCAAGCUAGAGUGCAGGAGAGGAAGGUAGAAUUCCCGGUGUAGCGGUGAAAUGCGUAGAGAUCGGGAGGAAUACCAGUGGCGAAGGCGGCCUUCUGGACUGACACUGACACUGAGGUGCGAAAGCGUGGGUAGCAAACAGGAUUAGAUACCCUGGUAGUC